This 465-nucleotide ribosomal RNA is filed under the name Vreelandella stevensii. Its description in RNAcentral is "partial 16S ribosomal RNA". It matches the Rfam family "Bacterial small subunit ribosomal RNA", at positions 338 to 795 of the family's 1533-position model. The record is from RNAcentral. Lineage: Bacteria; Pseudomonadati; Pseudomonadota; Gammaproteobacteria; Oceanospirillales; Halomonadaceae.
CCUACGGGGGGCUGCAGUGGGGAAUAUUGGACAAUGGGGGCAACCCUGAUCCAGCCAUGCCGCGUGUGUGAAGAAGGCCCUCGGGUUGUAAAGCACUUUCAGUGAGGAAGAACGCCUGGUGGUUAAUACCCAUCAGGAAAGACAUCACUCACAGAAGAAGCACCGGCUAACUCCGUGCCAGCAGCCGCGGUAAUACGGAGGGUGCGAGCGUUAAUCGGAAUUACUGGGCGUAAAGCGCGCGUAGGUGGCUUGAUAAGCCGGUUGUGAAAGCCCCGGGCUCAACCUGGGAACGGCAUCCGGAACUGUCAAGCUAGAGUGCAGGAGAGGAAGGUAGAAUUCCCGGUGUAGUGGUGAAAUGCGUAGAGAUCGGGAGGAAUACCAGUGGCGAAGGCGGCCUUCUGGACUGACACUGACACUGAGGUGCGAAAGCGUGGGUAGCAAACAGGAUUAGAUACCCUAGUAGUC